UACGAAGGGUGCAAGCGUUACUCGGAAUUACUGGGCGUAAAGGGUGCGUAGGUGGUUUGUUAAGUCUGCUGUGAAAUCCCCGGGCUCAACCUGGGAAUGGCAGUGGAUACUGGCAAGCUAGAGUGCGGUAGAGGGUAGUGGAAUUCCCGGUGUAGCAGUGAAAUGCGUAGAGAUCGGGAGGAACACCAGUGGCGAAGGCGGCUACCUGGACCAGCACUGACACUGAAGCACGAAAGCGUGGGGAGCGAGCCGG
RNAcentral lists this ribosomal RNA (253 nucleotides) under uncultured bacterium. Its description in RNAcentral is "partial 16S ribosomal RNA". It matches the Rfam family "Bacterial small subunit ribosomal RNA", at positions 524 to 776 of the family's 1533-position model. The record is from RNAcentral.